Molecule: ribosomal RNA, 1322 nt
Filed under: Microbacterium sp.
Lineage: Bacteria; Bacillati; Actinomycetota; Actinomycetes; Micrococcales; Microbacteriaceae
Description: bacterial SSU rRNA
Rfam family: Bacterial small subunit ribosomal RNA
Source: RNAcentral
CGGGAUGCUUACACAUGCAGUCGAACGAUGAACUGGGUGCUUGCACCUGGGGAUUAGUGGCGAACGGGUGAGUAACACGUGAGCAACCUGCCCCUGACUCUGGGAUAAGCGCUGGAAACGGCGUCUAAUACUGGAUAUGUGAUGUGACCGCAUGGUCUGCGUCUGGAAAGAUUUUUCGGUUGGGGAUGGGCUCGCGGCCUAUCAGCUUGUUGGUGAGGUAAUGGCUCACCAAGGCGUCGACGGGUAGCCGGCCUGAGAGGGUGACCGGCCACACUGGGACUGAGACACGGCCCAGACUCCUACGGGAGGCAGCAGUGGGGAAUAUUGCACAAUGGGCGAAAGCCUGAUGCAGCAACGCCGCGUGAGGGAUGACGGCCUUCGGGUUGUAAACCUCUUUUAGCAGGGAAGAAGCGAGAGUGACGGUACCUGCAGAAAAAGCACCGGCUAACUACGUGCCAGCAGCCGCGGUAAUACGUAGGGUGCAAGCGUUAUCCGGAAUUAUUGGGCGUAAAGAGCUCGUAGGCGGUCUGUCGCGUCUGCUGUGAAAUCCCGAGGCUCAACCUCGGGCUUGCAGUGGGUACGGGCAGACUAGAGUGCGGUAGGGGAGAUUGGAAUUCCUGGUGUAGCGGUGGAAUGCGCAGAUAUCAGGAGGAACACCGAUGGCGAAGGCAGAUCUCUGGGCCGUAACUGACGCUGAGGAGCGAAAGGGUGGGGAGCAAACAGGCUUAGAUACCCUGGUAGUCCACCCCGUAAACGUUGGGAACUAGUUGUGGGGUCCUUUCCACGGAUUCCGUGACGCAGCUAACGCAUUAAGUUCCCCGCCUGGGGAGUACGGCCGCAAGGCUAAAACUCAAAGGAAUUGACGGGGACCCGCACAAGCGGCGGAGCAUGCGGAUUAAUUCGAUGCAACGCGAAGAACCUUACCAAGGCUUGACAUACACGAGAACGGGCCAGAAAUGGUCAACUCUUUGGACACUCGUGAACAGGUGGUGCAUGGUUGUCGUCAGCUCGUGUCGUGAGAUGUUGGGUUAAGUCCCGCAACGAGCGCAACCCUCGUUCUAUGUUGCCAGCACGUAAUGGUGGGAACUCAUGGGAUACUGCCGGGGUCAACUCGGAGGAAGGUGGGGAUGACGUCAAAUCAUCAUGCCCCUUAUGUCUUGGGCUUCACGCAUGCUACAAUGGCCGGUACAAUGGGCUGCGAUACCGUAAGGUGGAGCGAAUCCCAAAAAGCCGGUCCCAGUUCGGAUUGAGGUCUGCAACUCGACCUCAUGAAGUCGGAGUCGCUAGUAAUCGCAGAUCAGCAACGCUGCGUAAUUUGCCCC